CCUACGGGAGGCAGCAGUAGGGAAUAUUGGGCAAUGGGCGCAAGCCUGACCCAGCCAUGCCGCGUGUCGGAAGAAGGCCCUUGGGUUGUAAACGACUUUUGACGGGGAAGCGGUACCCGCAGAAUAAGCACCGGCUAACUCCGUGCCAGCAGCCGCGGUAAUACGGAGGGUGCAAGCGUUGUCCGGAUUUAUUGGGUUUAAAGGGUGCGUAGGCGGUUUGGUAAGUCGGCGAUGAAAGCCCGGGGCUCAACCCCGGAACUGUCGUCGAUACUGUCGAACUUGAGUACGGUUGAGGCUGGCGGAAUGGGCGGUGUAGCGGUGAAAUGCAUAGAUACCGUCCAGAACCCCGAUUGCGAAGGCAGCUGGCUAAGCCGUACUGACGCUGAGGCACGAAAGCGUGGGGAGCGAACAGGAUUAGAUACCCUUGUAGUC
RNAcentral lists this ribosomal RNA (432 nucleotides) under uncultured bacterium. Its description in RNAcentral is "partial 16S ribosomal RNA". It matches the Rfam family "Bacterial small subunit ribosomal RNA", at positions 338 to 795 of the family's 1533-position model. The record is from RNAcentral.